RNAcentral lists this ribosomal RNA (300 nucleotides) under uncultured cyanobacterium. Its description in RNAcentral is "bacterial SSU rRNA". It matches the Rfam family "Bacterial small subunit ribosomal RNA", at positions 115 to 419 of the family's 1533-position model. Lineage: Bacteria; Bacillati; Cyanobacteriota. The record is from RNAcentral.
GCAUAGAUAACGUGCCCUUUACUGGGGAGUAACACCGGGAACUGGUGCUAAUACCGCAUAAGUGCCAGGUUGCAAUACCUGUCAUUAAAGAAUUUCGGUAAAGGAUCGGUCUGUGUCGGAUUAGCUAGUUGGCGGGGUAAUAGCCCACCAAGGCGAUGAUCCGUAGUUGGUCUGAGAGGAUGACCAGCCAGAGUGGGACUGAGACACGGCCCACACUCCUACGGGAGGCAGCAGUAGGGAAUAUUGCGCAAUGGGGCGAAAGCCUGACGCAGCAACACCGCGUGGAGGAUGAAGUUUCUA